GAUGAACGCUGGCGGCGUGCUUAACACAUGCAAGUCGAGCGAAGCGCUUAAGUUUGAUUCUUCGGAUGAAGACUUUUGUGACUGAGCGGCGACGGGUGAGUAACGCGUGGUAACCUGCCUCAUACAGGGGGGAUAACAGUUAGAAAUGACUGCUAAUACCGCAUAAGACCACAGGGUCGCAUGACCCGGUGGUAAAAACUCCGGUGGUAUGAGAUGGACCCGCGUCUGAUUAGCUAGUUGGUGGGGUAACGGCUCACCAAGGCGACGAUCAGUAGCCGACCUGAGAGGGUGACCGGCCACAUUGGGACUGAGACACGGCCCAA
RNAcentral lists this ribosomal RNA (323 nucleotides) under uncultured bacterium. RNAcentral describes it as "bacterial SSU rRNA". It matches the Rfam family "Bacterial small subunit ribosomal RNA", at positions 28 to 334 of the family's 1533-position model. The record is from RNAcentral.